AUGAAAGCCAGCAUGCCUUUCAUUAAGCACUGCUUCUCUGUAAUCCAAACCACCUAAGUCAAGGAAACACAGCUAAUAAUGCAGUGAUAAGAACCACGCCAACACUGUUAGAGCAAAGUCAAUACAAUUAUUUUUUAACCUGCCCUUUUAGAGAUUUUCUUUAGGAGAAAAGUCCCUGUGCCUCAGUGCUGUAUGUAUUCUAGCAACAACAAAUUAUUUCUGUGCUGAUAAGGGAUGUGUAAAAUCCACAGCUGAUUACCAAAGACAAACACGUGCUUAGCAGUUUUCAGAAGUCUGUCAGCUUGGGGCACAUCAGGCUGGGGUUCCAAUGGAAAUUCACGUUGUGCUGGAGCAAGAAUCACAUUUUUUACUCAGAUGUGAGGAACAGGGAGGAGAAGUGCAGCUCCAGCAGGGCACAGGUGGCAGAUUAGAGCACAUCCCUCACAUUAAGGAAAUUCCACCUUACGCAGUAUCUGCACAGCAUAUGGUGCAUUUUUGAAGAUCACUCCACAAGCUGCAGCAUAAUAACUGAGGAAACUGCCAUUACUCAGUGGAAACUGGCCCAGGAAGAUCGUGAUGCAGCUGCUUCGAUUCGUUCCACCUAGAAAUGGUUCCCAGUGCUUAAGAUCCAUACUCCAAAAAACCCCAAGCAAUUAACCGGACUUGAAAGCCCCAUUAAUGAUAGAAAUGUUUCAAUCCACAUGCUCUUUACCAAGCUCCUGCAUUGCUACCUACUGGUAAGUUUGGGCUCACUGUACUUCCCUGUUUUUCAAAGCAACAGAGGUUCCCUGUGCUAAAAAUCCUUGAGAAGCACCUUACGAGUAAGGUGAGGAACCUAAUGAGUAAGGCACAAACUAUCCUGUGUUUUCAAAUUACCACUGCACUCAAGGUGAGGUGAUUUUGCUUGUAACAGUUAACUAUGAAAGGGGAAAUCAUGCACUGAAGCCUCCACUUUCCAGUAUGUCACAGUAGCAGACAUGGUGGUUACACAGUUUUUCUUUCACCCUUUCAGCAAACUAGCCAGAAGGGAAACAAAGUGUUAUGGUGGCUCAGGCAGCAAGCAGCAACACUAUUACUGCUGCAGUCAUGUGCUAGCAUCCAAGUUCCCUGGAGAAAGGAAUUAACUGAUGAAACAAAGCAGGUGAUGAUGGCAUGUCAGUUUCCAUUCAAUCUGCAGAUGAUAGUAGUAGAAGAAACGCAAUUUCAGAUAGAUCUGUCAGUAAGAUUUAUGUGCAUCAAUAAAAGAUGAGGGGAAAUUUGUCAGCCAAAUCAUUAAGUUCAGCGCUGACCGUAGGACAGCCACAAGUUUGAUCCCUACAAAUCUACCUUUGUUGCCACAAUUUGAUUCACUUGUCUACAAGGGGUGGUUUUCAAGCAGUGCUUUCAGGGGGUCCCAGCAGUUUGACAAUCAGUUUCUCAGUUUUGACUCCAUAUCAUGAGACUGAAAUCACACAACACCUAAACAACAAUGCAUGUCUAAAGCGACCCACCAGAAAGUGCACUAAAUCAAAACAACUGCACUGAUUGCUGCUACCUCAAACGAGGAACAAACAACAGGCUCCUCCCUCAUUAACUAUCUUGUCUAAAACAGCUCUCCAAGAUCCCUUGCUUAAAAAGCCUGACAGUUUUGAAUGCAUGGCUUCAAGUGAGAACUUCAGGAUUUGUUGCUGUAUGGGAACUGCUGAAUCAUGGCCUGAACCUCUGAUUGAGCACCUGAGGCGAGCACUGAGUCAGCCAUGGGAGCACAGGUGAAGGCAAUUCAGCUGUGCUGCUGGAAGGGGGGGAGCCUGGCUGCACCUCUGCUAGACCCAUGUAAGAGCUGAAUGCCAGCGGGGAAGGAUCUCUGCUGGAGAUCUCUCCUUGGAGUCUUAUAGUGAGCCCAGGAUCAGCCAGUCACAGUACCUGCUGCUAACAGGAUUGUACUGUGUAUUGCUCCACAAGUCACAGGCAAGAGACUUGCUCAAAGCCUAAAAAAACCACAACCACAGACUAUCUGAAAGAACAGUCUACCUGAACUUUGUACUUCUGGUAAAUGAACAACA
Tympanuchus pallidicinctus (lesser prairie-chicken) is the source of this 2042-nucleotide long non-coding RNA. RefSeq lists it as uncharacterized. The transcript is spliced from 3 exons. Lineage: Eukaryota; Metazoa; Chordata; Aves; Galliformes; Phasianidae. The record is from RefSeq and is a predicted model, not a curated record.